GAUGAACGCUGGCGGCGUGCCUAAUACAUGCGAGUCGAGCGAACAGACGAGGAGCUUGCUCCUCUAACGUUAGCGGCGGACGGGUGAGUAACACGUGGAUAACCUACCUAUAAGACUGGGAUAACUUCGGGAAACCGGAGCUAAUACCGGAUAAUAUAUUGAACCGCAUGGUUCAAUAGUGAAAGACGGUUUUGCUGUCACUUAUAGAUGGAUCCGCGCCGCAUUAGCUAGUUGGUAAGGUAACAGCUUACCAAGGCAACGAUGCGUAGCCGACCUGAGAGGGUGAUCGGCCACACUGGAACUGAGACACGGUCCAGACUCCUACGGGAGGCAGCAGUAGGGAAUCUUCCGCAAUGGGCGAAAGCCUGACGGAGCAACGCCGCGUGAGUGAUGAAGGUCUUCGGAUCGUAAAACUCUGUUAUUAGGGAAGAACAAAUGUGUAAGUAACUAUGCACGUCUUGACGGUACCUAAUCAGAAAGCCACGGCUAACUACGUG
Molecule: ribosomal RNA, 497 nt
Filed under: uncultured bacterium
Lineage: Bacteria
Description: partial 16S ribosomal RNA
Rfam family: Bacterial small subunit ribosomal RNA
Source: RNAcentral